UCUGUACAUGAAGAGAGGUAGGAAGUCCUCUUCCUUUUUUUGGGUGGAACAGCUAGGCCCCUCCAGUUCUCAACUGCAUCCCCAUCAGCCGGAAAAAUGUUUGUGGUAGCAUCAGAUCCCACAAAUGGAACAAAUCCGCAUAUUUCCCUCGAUGAAGGAAAGAUGACGAGCAAUGAAGCGAUCGACUCGAAGAGGCAAGUUGUCAUGUUUGAAAAGGCCAUGUUUUAUGUUUUUGAAAUCAGCUUCAACAGUGGCUGAACUUGCUGUGAUGCUGGUGCUUUGGAAGAGAGGGACCAUUAUUCCUGUCCAGAGUGGCAAGUAACUUGCCAGUCUUAUUAUAUGAGGAAUAAUCUCAGGGAGAAAGUGAAUAUUAUCUCUAUCCCCAUUUGCUGCAGCAAGUGACCUGCUCUCCUCACAUAUUUCUGUUACCCACUGUCGUAGGUCAGUCUGGAUCUCAUCCACUGAAUCCACUCUCUCACUUUCCUCCGUCUGUUCAUCUGGAAUGAUGAUGGAGUCUUGAGAAAUUUGGGCUUUCAAGUAUUUCUUGCACCUUUCUGAAGGAAGAGGUGCUCCAGAACUGUCAUCACCUUCUGCCUCACUGAGGGCCACAACAGUGAUAGCAUGCAAUCCCACUGGCAUAUCAUCUUGAUGCAGUGCGCAACAUCAACCCUGAUAUAACAAGGGGGGAGUUUGGCAGACUGGGUUCCAAGAAGGACAUGAAAGCAUUCAUUAAGUAGUGACAGAAAAACUUGUCCAGUCCAAUAUCUCGGAUGCUACCACUAGUGGCCAAAUUUGGAAGGUGGCUUGGCUCAGGAUCUCCAACAUCCAUCAGAUCUGCUGCCCUCGCUGACCUCCAUACAGCCGGUUCCAUUCUGCCCUCACACAGCUCUUUAGCGAUCUGUUCACGCAGGUUUCCAGACAUGAACCGCUUGGAGUGGCCAGUGUGCAGGGAGAAAUCUGUAUUUCUCAUGAAACACUGGAGCACCAUUGGACUAUUAAUUGCUGGCUGUCUGUCACAUGACAUUUCUAACUGGCCAUGACACUCCUUACAGUCGCCUCUGAUGUCCAGAUAAUUAUUGUUGACAGUUGGAUGGACCUUUGCUCUACGGAACACAAGUGUACAUGUAUUUUUGAUCUUCUUCCAUAUAAGAUCGUUGAUGAUAUGAGUCCAAGUGCCAGGUUUCAAAAUUGUGUAUUCCCUUUUUAGGGUAGGAGAAAACUUGUCAUUGUAUUCAACCUUUUCAGGAAUAAAUUUAACCCAGUCCUCAAAAGGGACUUCUAGUUCAAAAGCUUGACAGUUUUCUUGUCCAGGAGAAAUGCAAUGUGAAUCUAACUCUCCUUCACUAUUACUUUCCUGAUCACUGAUUUCCAAAGCUGACCAGAUGUUGUGUCUAUUUAGCUUCACAAAAGUGUACAGGGCCUUUGCUGACAUCUUGUCUUCUAGCUGCUGACUCAGCUCUUUCCAGACUGAUGCAGCUGGAGUGGCUAUUUUGCCAUUUUGGACUAUGGCCUCUUUUGAAUUGCAAAGAACUGCAAAAAUGGAAACCUUGUCUACAGAUGGCUUUCGAGGCAUCUAAAAUAAAACACACUAUGAUUAUGAUGGAGCAAAAUGUGAUUUCUGAACUAUAUACACAGCCAGGAGCAACCCCUCCCCCAAGUUCUCCACCAAUCUACACUUUCAUAUUUUGUGGAAUUAUUGUUUUUAAGAUGGAGCUAUUGAAUUUGUGAGUUUAUUAAAUUGAGUCUGAGUAUUUAACCCAUGUACUGUACAGCACUUUAGUCCAGUGUGCUACAUGUUUUAAAGUGCUUUAGAAACUUUUUUCUUGGACAUUUUUGAAAAUGUUUAACAUUGAAAAAAAAUCCUUUUGAUCCAGAUAGUUAGCUAUAUCAUGUAUUAACUCAGUAACUAAAACCUCAGUAUUUUAAAUGUAAGCUUACCUUGUUCAGAAAUCAGAUGAACGCUGUUCUAAGAAUCCUUCAGACACAGUAAUGCCAAAUAAUAGUUUUUUCUGCCAGAAAAUGUGUAUUUGAUGCAAAAGACUGCUAGCUUGUUCGUUUCUCAAAAAGUGUUCAUGGGAGUGUAAAAUGUUCAAAUGUAGUUUUCAAUAAAGUUUUUUUAAUCCACUCUAAAAAAA
Molecule: long non-coding RNA, 2135 nt
Organism: Astatotilapia calliptera (eastern happy)
Lineage: Eukaryota; Metazoa; Chordata; Actinopteri; Cichliformes; Cichlidae
Source: Ensembl